UGUGACUGACACGUCUCCUUCAGGCACGC
This 29-nucleotide non-coding RNA is filed under the name Rattus norvegicus (Norway rat). Lineage: Eukaryota; Metazoa; Chordata; Mammalia; Rodentia; Muridae. The record is from RNAcentral.